AUCCGAAGGGAGCUAGCGUUGUUCGGAAUUACUGGGCGUAAAGCGCACGUAGGUGGACUGGUCAGUUGAGGGUGAAAUCCCAGGGCUCAACCCUGGAACUGCCUUCAAUACUGCCAGUCUUGAGUCCGAGAGAGGUGAGUGGAAUUCCUAGUGUAGAGGUGAAAUUCGUAGAUAUUAGGAAGAACACCAGUGGCGAAGGCGGCUCACUGGCUCGGUACUGACGCUGAGGUGCGAAAGCAUGGGGAGCAAACAGGAUUAGAAACCCCAGUAGUCC
Molecule: ribosomal RNA, 274 nt
Filed under: uncultured bacterium
Lineage: Bacteria
Description: partial 16S ribosomal RNA
Rfam family: Bacterial small subunit ribosomal RNA
Source: RNAcentral